This is a long non-coding RNA of Tyto alba (common barn owl), 1720 nucleotides long. RefSeq lists it as uncharacterized. The record is from RefSeq and is a predicted model, not a curated record. The transcript is spliced from 5 exons. NCBI's taxonomy places the organism in Eukaryota, Metazoa, Chordata, Aves, Strigiformes, Tytonidae.
ACCCAAACAAAAGCCCCGGCCCCUCUGCGAACAGAGCGUUGGCCAGCGGGCCUGGCAGGGCCGGCGGCGGUCAGCAUUAGGUUUUCAGGACUUCAGGAGAGGGCUGGCUUCGGAACUGCUGCUCCGCACAGCACCAGAGUGGUGCUGAACUGUUGCUGAGAGGCACAAGCCCCCAGAACUCAGCUCCUGCUGAGUCUUGAGCGAAGUAGGAGGAAAGGACAAGUGACCCUGCUGCUCACGGAGGCAGGCCUCUCCUUUCAUGGAUGCUGCGAAUCUCUUAGCUCUGUCUGCAGAGUUCAGCGGUCCCACAGCUCCUCUCUGUCACGGCGGCAUGAUCUGCCUCUGCUGGGCUGGGAGCGCUCACGGAGUGCGGAGUUUGGUCAAAGGUGGGAAAAGCUGCAGUUCAGUAGUGGAAGAAACGGCUCGUGGUAAGAGUUGGUGCGUCUGAGGUGUCAGAAACUCCGCUAUUACAACAAAUGCCAUCCACGAGCAUUCAAGGAUUUAACACGACAGUCUCUGAAAUGGAGUAAAAAUCUUUUGGGUGGAAGAGAGUAUAAUUUUUUUUCCUAACUGGCUGUGGAACAAAGUUAUUCUUUCAGUGUUACCCCAUCUGCGCCUCGGGACAGCUAGCUGUCGCUCACACCUCCAGGCACACACAAAGUUUUAUUACGGUUUGAACUGCUGGAGAAAUAAUAGAAAUCAAGGAGUUAGAAUUCUGUGAAGAGAGCAGUAAUUGAUGGUGAUGUGUUGUGGAAGCACAUGCCUGAAAUGAUUGCCUAAGCAACGGAUAUGGAAAACCUAAGAAUAUUCACAACACAUCUUCCUUCUGGCUAGAUGAUGCUGAUAUCUGUAGUCUUACAGCAUGCUGUGUCCGUGUUGCCAAGCGGAUCAUUACCUUCAGUGUGAGCUCGUCCAUUAUACUCUGGCUACAGUCUGCGUUGUGACUGACAGAGACAGACCACGAAACUGCUAUAAUCAGCUAACAGAAUCACAAGACUGGACUACAGUCACAAAUGGAUACAAGCUUGGGAUUUAUAUUUAGCUAUAGUCAUAGUGCAGUUUGCAAUUUAGGGAGGGCAUACCUGAUCCAUCUUUAAAUGAGCUAAUCCUCCUAAUGGAAAAUUUCUAGUCACUACAACACUGUGCUUGGCACAAGUUAAUUUACUUUCUGCCAUCAUGGUGAGACUUGUUUCCAAGGUGCAUACGCAGGUUACUUUGUAGACACAUCCACCAUCUACUUAGGAAUCCUGUUUUUGUUUUGUGAACAUGCAAUUAUGUGCUAACCUUUAUGCAUGGCUAGCAAAAUGCAAGCCUUUUUGAAAGAAACAGUUAAGAAUUCAUUGCAUAGCAAGAAUGUGACACCUAGUGGAUAGAUGACAUUGAGGAAAUGUGACGGUCCCAUCAAGUAAUAUUGACAUUAAAUGACUCUAUCCAGUAGAACAAUUAAUUUGAUACCAAAAAAGACAUUGGUCUUGAAUGACUCUUUGCACAAGGCCAAGGUAAUUGGAUAAUGGCAAGUCCACACUGAAAGCUCAGAAGGGAAGAAGGUGUCAGAGUUUGUUUUAAAAGGAUUUUUUGUAAACCACUAGCAGAAUGGUUUACAUUCUGUCUAAAAUACAAAGACCAAAGCCCAUGAAGACAUUGUGGAUACUCAUGACAUACAUCAUAACUGGAGACUUCUGACAUGCAAAACACAAGAAUAAAGUGUGCCUAAAACCCC